Molecule: long non-coding RNA, 8440 nt
Filed under: Gallus gallus (chicken)
Lineage: Eukaryota; Metazoa; Chordata; Aves; Galliformes; Phasianidae
Description: lncRNA (ENSGALG00010002107.1)
Source: RNAcentral
CAGCCUUAUUCCAUUUGCGCAGCUACACGGAUUCCCUACAAGCUGUCCUCUGAGAUACUGCAGCUUACUGCCUCCACAGCCAGUGGAAGAAACCUGCCCUUCAGCAUUUACAGGAGUGUAUUGUUUAAUAGGAUUAUAUUUAAAUUUCUAUAAAGGUUGUCAAUCCAAUGCUUAUGACUCAGAAUGGAAAAUUCCUCUGAGAAAGACUUCAUUUAACCAGCGACCUGCAGAUGCAGAGUGAGAGCAGAACACUAAAGAGAGGUUAUGAAUUUUUUUAAGCUAACCAGCUUUCCACCCUGGCUGCAACAGUCUUCUUACCUCUUAUGAAAUGUGGUAGAGAUGGUCUUCUAUUGGAAAUUGCUAAAUAGAAUGAAAAAACCUUUUGUCAAGUCCUGUUAGAUGUAUUUUGUCAUCUAUUUUCUAUUCAGAGCAAUUUCACCACAGCAGACUAAACAAAGACUUAAAUUAAUAUUGGGCAGACUUGUUUAGUAGCUACUGUCCACUGCUCUCUAACAGACGCUGAAUCGUUUAUUACUUUUAUACAACUUAAAAUGGCAGAUUGUGAAUUCAUCCAGUGACUGCUUUUAUUGUUACUUCUUAGACGCCUGCAAAACUCAUAAGAACAGAAAAUGUAAAGAGAUUUUCUGAAUUACUGAGUCCCAUCCUACGGUGCUAAAAGCAACUCUACAGAAUCCCUUUGAUAAAUGUCUCAAGCUCCAGGUAAAAGGUGGUUUCUUUCUUUUGCCCCCACUUAACCCUGCUGGAGAAAUGGUACAGACUGUCCUCACAAUUAGGAAUCUGUACAUUUCUGUCUAAAUGUAUUUAUUAUUAAUUUCUAACCAUUUUCUUUUGAGCCCUUUUCUUUCAAGAAGGCAUUUCUUCCCUGAGAUAUUUCUCAUAAAGUCUCUCAUCUAAUAAACAAGGAUGCAGUCAGUGUGGAUCAUUUAAUAAUUACAUGUAGCCAUAGAAUGGAUACAUGUGUAGAUCGCUCCAAAAGUAAUGCCUCCUACUUAUACCCAUGGAAGCUACAACAGCUACAGAGUAUGAUAAGAGUAGUUGAUAGAGCACGUUCUCAGCUACAAAAUUCAUCUUCUUGAAAAUGGGCAGACAGAAUCACAUGCAUUAUUUCCAGUCAGGUAAACUAGGGCCUUUACAACUGUACUAACACCUCCUUGGCUUUAGUAGCAGGCUCUUCCCUUGAAGUCCACGUGGCUUGCAUUUGCCCACCCAAGUCUCCAUGCUGGCAGCUCUGCACCAUGCUCACUUUCCUCAGCUGAGACACUUAAGCACAGCACUUCUUCCUACCGAAUUUCAUCUCGCUCCUAUGACUCAUCCUCAAAGCCAAAGUGUUCUUUCUGUCUGAUGUUUUGAUUCUCCUCAUAUGUGAAGACAAUAAAUAAUAGAUAAAGACAGCUCAUGUUGCAAAAUUAAAUAGGCUGCAGGUUAUGGAUUGCAGCACUUCUGAAAUCAAACACAUGUGACUAUAGAGACUUUGGCAAACAUUCUGUAUAUUCAAGAACAAUAUUAAAAACUGAGUAUGUCAUUAUUUUGUCAAAAUCAUUUUUCGGUGUAAGUAUGAAUUGAUUUUGUCUUUUCUUUUGGAGGUUUACAGUUCACGCAUUUAUUCCAGUCAGUCUACCUUAUACCAUACCUUAGGCAACCAGCGAACAAGGAAUUAGUGUGAAAGACAUCUCCAUACAACAGAGAUCUGCACAGUGCACUCUUUCACCCUUGACCUUGCAUGCAAAUGUAGCCAGAAAAGGAAGCAAAGACACAGUGCAGCAGUCAAACACACUUACACCUGCUUUGGACACUGUGAUUCAGGAAUACUUGGUUUGACAUUUUGGGUGAUAGAGCACCACAAAACUGACCCAACUGAGUUAUGCUGUGGUUGUAACCACGAACCCAGAAAAGAAAGUGUUUUUAUUUCUUAUGAUUACACACUGGAAUCCAGCUAGCAUUAACAAGCAGGAAAACGUAGUGACUAAAAGCUGCCUUCUCCUCUCACUCUAAGGGUAAGAUUUCUCAUAUUUUCUAGCUUUGAGACAUUUUAGAAAUGAUCACUGUAGAUAACAGAAAUCAAAACAAAAGCCGACUGCAAUGUGGGAUUAUUAAAAAUGAUACUGACUUAUUCCUUCUAAUUAGAACAAAUGACUUUCUACUACAGUUAAAAAGAACUUAGUUGCUAGCAAGUUGAGAGCAAAAUUAAACCCCUCAGAAGCAAACACCGUGCAGGCUAUGCUUAUGGAAAAUUAUUCUCACAGUAAUCAGCUGUACAUGCUGACACACUUGUUCUUUUCUGGUUGCCUAGUUGUCUACCAACCUCCCCUGGCUCCACGCCAUGACCUCUGUGAAAGAUCUGCUACAGCAGUAGCAAGUAUUUUCCCAGAAAGUCUCAUUAACUGUGCUGUGGCUUCUAGCUCACAAAUGGUUCUUGGUCUUAUCUCAAUUAUUGUGAAAGUGUUUUAAAUGAAGAUACUUGGUUUCAUUUUUAAAUUGAUACAAGAAAAUCCAAGGCCAAGAAAUCGAACUGGACAGAGCAGGUCAGCACAGCAUGUUAUGCAGUAUGAGCAAACACUGAAAAGUAAGUCCGAAGUUACAAUUUCUAACACAUGCAGUUCCAGCCCUCUUAAAAUCCACAAAAAUACCUCAUCAGCUGAAAAAUUAUAGGUUUGAAACAGAUAGAUAUAUUUGAACAAAAUUGAUGGUUGGCUUGAAGCGCUGUAGUGCCUGCAAAAAAACAAAAAACAAAAAACAAAAAACAAACAAACAAAAAAAAAGCGGUACAUACAUAUCUUCCAAAACCCAUUUGUUGCAAACAAGCAUAGAAAAAAAAAUCAAUUAAAGGAACUUAAAUAAAUGUCUCUACUUCAGUUUGUAGCCUACAGCGCUGGCAUUUAUCCACGCUGGUUUUAAGAGGCAAGAUGCAGAUGUCCCCCUCAAAGUUUAAUGCCUCCUCCCUUGACACAGCCUCUGGGUUCUCAUAGGUAUUUGUGAGGCACCAAGGCAUCAGACCAGGACGGGGCUUCAGGCACUACUGCGCUACAGACACAGCAAUAUUUUAGCUAAUACUCACUAAGAGAAAAAAAAAAAUAAAAAAUUAAAAAAAAAUGAGUAGUUCUCAUCAAAUUAGCAACUUCUACUUCUUUGCAAGGAGCACGACUUUGUUGGCAAGCAUGAAUAAAGUGGCAGAUAUUCAUGUAAUGCGCUGAUACCAUGUCUACCAUCUUAAUAUAGCAUGGAAAGAGUCUUUAAUUGAAUGUAACAAUAGGGCAGACAAAAAAAUACCAAUCAGAGUAACUUGCCUGCCUAUCUAAAUUCUAGAUAUUCCUUAGUUCUAACAGAAAUUUGAUUAGCUUUACUUACCAGGAUGCAUUCAAACAUAAAGAUUUUUAGGCUUCUUACUUCUGUGGUAGAAAACAAGGCAGACUGCAGGUUGUCUUGCUGAUGCACCAUAUACGUAAACAGCAGUCAAUUGCACAUAGUUUUGAAAAAGUUUGAUGGUUUUCAUCCAUCUUCUCAUGACAGUUUGCUAUACUUUCCAUUUCAUUUUGCUUAUAUACUAUUAAGCUUCUCUAUUUGUUAAGUGUGUUCUCUUUUUCCUCUAAAAACAAUUUGGGUCACCACACCAGAGGCUGUAGUUGGCCUGGAGCUGACAUAAAUAAUCUUGAACAAAAAAAUCAGGCUGAUCAAGAUAUGCAUGUUCUCAGUUUUGCUUUAUGAGGUGGAGCAACAAGCCUUCAAAAAUGAUAAUAUGUGAAGACUGCUGCUCUUUCUUUUCUUUUCUUUUUUCCCCUUUCAACAUUUGCAUUAACUAGCAAAACCACACGGACAAGAUGAUUAAAGAAGCUCUAACACAUAAGAGACAGCUUGAAGCAGCAGCAAAACCCUAGGUCUGGAUCUUUCUGCUAGAUGAAGGCUGAUUCUUGAUGGAAUCUGGCUCUUCAACCUUACUGGAGGGCAGCAGAAGAACAACAUGGCAUACCCUAGAGCUGCAGUGAGGAUCUGGUUUUGUAAGGCCCAGAACAACACCAUCAGGAACACUAUCAGGAACCAAGUAAACAAUUUACAGCUGAAAAGGAGGUCUAGAGAAGACACAAGAAACAAAGAUUCAAGUAACAGGCGCUACAAGUGAAGAAAAAGUUCUAGCUGGCACACACGUCAGCAUUUGUGCAAGAAAUGAAAGAACAUAUUGUCCUACUGCAUGGGUUCUCAGGCUUCAGUCUGCUCACUCUAGCGGCAAGGAUGCUCUUCUGCUGGCCGGCCCUCAAAUGGAGGAUUCUUCUACUGACACAACAGUUCCAUACUUAUAAGGAGUUAGCAGAGGCUUUACUAAUUAAAAUCAAACUUAAUUGUCAACUUUCAAACUCAGUCAUCAACUUUGCAACAUCUGUGGCUGCUUCAUGUCCUCCUGUGACUGAAAAUCAUAGGAUAUACAUUCAAGACAGAGAAAAAAGACAUGAUAGACUUCAGAUCCUCUUUAUUCCAGGCUGUUACCCACCUGAAACGAAUGACAUAAAAUCUCAGUGAAAGGAAAUACAGCGACUGGACUUGAAAUGAGCUGUAACUUGAUGAUCCAGUUCCCUUCAGAGCAGGCUGGGAUUCCCAAAUGCUUCAUGGUUCAGUACACAGACAGAAGUGAAGGAACUUCUUCUGAGUAAAAUAGCUAAUAUGUUAAUUGUCAUUGAUUCAGUAAUAAUUUAAACCCAAAUCUCUUAAAUGAGGUCUAUGUAGAAAAAAAUAAUGUGGCUUACUGAAAAAGAGAACUUGUACCUUCACAGUUCAAAAACCAUUUUCAACCACAAUGAGAGUUCCCUUUUUUGGUUACCACAAGUGGUUUCGCAGUAAGUGGACUGGUUUUCUACAGGCCCAGCCAGAAAGGGUGCUGAGGGAAAGGGAGCCUUUCCUUUUCUCUUUUGGUCUGUUCUUCUGCCGCCCUGUUAACAUACUCCGAGUGUGGUGACACUAAUCACACAUUCACAAUUGUGAUCUCCCCCAGCCAUGUUUAUGUGGUUGCUGCAGUGAUGUUUGUGCCUGUACCAUACUGUUUCACUUGCCAUUGAAGAUGAGAUUGAAGACAGAAGUUAGUUAGGAUUUAUUUUUCAUUUUUAAAUUUCAUUUCCCUUUAAUCUUGCUUGCUAUUCAGUGUAAUCAACUGUUGCCUCAUGUUAUAGAAAAUAAGAGAACCACACUGUAUGACCUGAGGGAAAAAAAUCAAGAUUUGAGAAACACAGUGCUGCUAAAACAAACAAACAAACAAACAAACCAUACAUAAAUCCCCGGAGAACUAAUUUAUUGCAUUCAGACUGUUCAGAAAUUCAAAAAAACUCUGAAAUAUACAACAAUUCGUGGCUCUAGGGAAAGAAAUAGAAACUCUUCCUUACCUUUUUUGCAUCAUUUUCUAUUGCAGAACAUUAUUUCUGAAAUCGGGUUAAUAUUUAAGGUCUGAAACUCAACAUAACUUUAGACUAGUUAUGGAAUGCAAUUUUCAGCCUGAAAAAAAAAUACUGAGAGUUGUAACAGUCCACAUUUAAAGACAAACUUCAGAGAGACAAAAUUUCUGUGAAAGAUAAGUCUGCCAAGGAUCAUCAAAUCUGUUUAUUAAAUAUGCAUCUAUAUUUCAAACCUGUAAAAUCACGCCACUUAUUUAUAUUGAUAUGAGUACGUCACUUCCAAUGUACUUGUUGUGAACUGGCAUCAUUGAGGAAUAGAAAAAUACAAAUUAGUAGCUGCUUCCCACAUGUUUAGAGGCAUCAGGAGUGGGCAACGCAGUUUGAAGCUUCGUACUACAGUAGAAAAUUCAGAGGAAAGCUUAGGAUAAACAAUGACAGCAAUUUCUCUAAGAGGUCAGAAAGAGCACUGCAAUUUCUUCAAAAUAUAGUCAGAUAAUUCUGGUUGGUGGUUUUGCUCAAUAGAAUUUUGCUUGAAAUUGGAUAUUUUAUGCAGGAAUAGCAGCUUUUUGCUGAUAUUACUGCAAAUGUAAAUACUAAAGGCAUAAAUCUAUUUCUCUUUGAGUCCCUCGUACUCAUCACCAGAUAGUGAUAUUUCCAUUUCACCUCAGGACUCACUGCUUUGCUGUGAUACAAAAACAGAAACAGCUUUUGCAUAAUUAAUGAAACACAAGAUCUGAAAAUAGUCCUUUUUUCUUCCCUUUCCUGUCUACCCCAUUAAAAAACCAAACAAAACCCAAACAAUAGAGCCUGAAAGUUGAAGGCCCUUAAGAAUAGCUACAAGCCAGCUGGUGUCAGAAGAACAGCAUGAAGCAAAAAGCAUCACAACUAAAAUCAGGACUCUGUUUGAAUGGAAGGAUCUACACCGUGAGGAACAAAUAGGAAAAGUUACCAGAAAUGAGGAAAAGAGCAACAAAUGCAGCGGGGCAGAGAUAUGAGGAGAGUACCAGUACUGGUGAAAUGUGCAUUAUAUUUUUAGCUAUUUACACUGUAACCACCAAGACAGGUACUUACAUUUCACUGAAACAGGCUCUGGCUAUAAAAUAAUUGUUAUGCAAGGGGAAAAAAAAAAGUGCUUUGUAAAGUGCUUCCAUGUGUUUUAUCUCUUUACAUACAUUUUCAACAAACGGAAUGCUGCCAAUAUUCCUUAGCUAAAAUAUUUCCCCUUCUACUAAAAUAUGCACAUACUUACAUAGUAAAGAAAUGAAGACUGAAGAACCUACAACUGAUAAAAAUGCUUUGAAAGUAUGGAUUCCUAUUGUUUGUUCUUUCUUUACAGUAAAGACCCAUGCCACUUCUGUGAAAGCUUCAUGCCGAGUCCUGUAUAUGCAUAUACAUUUUUUUUUUUGCUGAAAGAUUGGGAUUUUCCACUACUCAUUCUUCCUUCUGUUUUAGGACAUAGUUACAUGCUCUUUUAAGUAUGGGAAAAGGGGCUGCCAUCUGUUUCUGCCUGACCUUUUGGAAGAUAUGAAGUCAGCAGAGCUUCAUACAAAGAUUUGUGUUCACAGGUUUUCCCCUGGUGUUUCUCUAGUUCCCUUCCUCCUGUGCUUCUUCAGUUCUUCUAAUACAAAGCAUAUCAGCAUGGGGGUGUUGCUUUGUCUUCCAGAUGGACAAUUGAUUUAUCAGAGGAGGUAAAACCAACAUAUCACAGAAUUGUAGCUGUAGGAAGGGACCUCUGGGGAUCAUCGAGUCCAACCUUCUGCUAAAGCAAGUUCCCUCACAUUUGUAUGGUACUUCCCGUGUUCCACUUUGUGCCUAUUGCCCCUUGUCCAGGUUCUGCACAACACUGAAAAAAAGCCCCAUCCAUUUGACUCCCACGUUUCAGAUAUUUACAAAUAGUGAUGAGAUCCCCUCUUAGUCUUCUCUUCUCUGGGCUGAAUAGUUCCUGGUCUUUCAGCCUUUCCUCAUAUGGGAGAUGCUCCAGGCUCCUCCUCAUCUUCUCUCUCUAGAAGUUCCUUGUCAUUCUUGAGCUGAGGAGCCCAGAACUGGACACAGUACUCCAGAUGUGGCCUCACCAGGGCAGAGAGGGAGGAUCACCUCCCUCGACCUGCUGGCCACGCUCUUUUUAAUGCACCCCAGAAUCCCACUGGUGUUCACUUUUGUCCUCACGAAGCGUGAGCAUUUCUUCCACGCAGCCAAAGACAGCCUGGGCACACAGCAGCUGAGCUCAGUGUCUUUGAGCUUUGAAUGCCUUCAGCCUCCAUCUGUGCUGGAUACCGACACGUGGGGUGAAGCAGGGCGAGAGAGCUCUGCUGCCAGCAGGCACUGCCUGUAAGUAGUGUUUCUUCCCAGCUCUGCUGCCAACAGGCACUGCCUGUAAGUAGUGUUUCUUCCCAGCAGCUUCCCCUGGGAGCUCACAGUUCCCACUGCCGCUUGCAGUGUUUUACCUCCAGCUGCACGGCAGUGCGAUGGCUGACACCCAUUCCUCCGCGCCCCCCCCUGUGUGACUGUGCAAAGAGAGGGAAUUGCUUCUGCACAGCAAGAACGCAUCAUUAACCCCCAACGUAAGCGUGUGGUAAUGCAAUUGAUAAUUUGCAUGGUGAACCACAAAGAGACAUUCUCCUUCCAAUGACAAAAGGUCACAAAGGUUUUUGAGUUACAAAUUAAACCACGCUUGACUCAAAACUGGACAGGAGCUCAGCUCCCGAGGUGCCGCACCACACGAAGCCGGGCUGCCCCGAGUCUCCACUGUGCUGUCCAACUUCACUUAACGUUAACGGCGUUUGCUGAGGGCUCCUAGCAGAGACCUCCUUUCUCCCCCAAGUGAAUGCUCCGUGGCCCCGCUCGUGCUUUACAGACCCGGGGCUGAGAGCUUUGCAGCCAGCGAGGGGCCCGGCCGGCUGACCCCGCGGCCUCAGGAGCACCGCAUCCCACUGUGUCUCUUCCUCAUUCCUGGCUCCUUCCUCUUCCUCCUGUCGCACUCCCCACCCCGCCGCAGCCGCCGGGCCGGCCGGGCAGGUAUUGAGGGCAGGGCUGGGCGGCUCUCCCCG